AUCCACCUCAGGGGUAUCCACCUCAGGGAUAUCCUCCAGCAGGAUAUCCACAGCAAGGUUAUCCUCCACCGCAGUACGCCCAGCCUCCUCCUCAACAGCAGCAACAGAGCGGUAGCAACGUCGGAUGCUUGGAAGGAUGGUGAGUUCUUUCUCCCUUUUUCUGUCUGUUUUCUUCUUCUUCUGUAUUAGCGCGUGAAGCGCAUGUUAGUCGAUUUGGCGCAGGUUAAUUGGUUGUCAAUUUGUCACUAGCGGUAGUGUGUGUAGUCAAACAUCUCUUUAUUGUUGAUUAAAUUAUUCAUUUUUUUUAGAAAAAGAAAGAAAGAAAGAAUGCAUUGUUUAGAUUUAAUGAUUCGUUAAUUAAGAAAUAAUGAUGUCAUAGAAUAUAUGCGAUAAUGAUUCAUGCAUGGUGGGAAAAUUGGAAGACGCUUUUUUUUUAAUCUGAUAUUGAUUUUAUUGUUAUUUAUUUAUUUAUUCUCCCAAUUGAUAAUUGAUAUUACUCCAAUUACUUUGCUGAUUUGCUCUCCAUUUAAAUAAAUAGUGUGACACUGAAUCUAGUUGUUAAUAGUUUGAUAUGGUAAUUUAUGGAUGAUGUUGCACUGAUUUUUUCAAAGUGGGGGAGAAGUUGAAAGUCAAAUUUAGACAUGUAUUGUUUUGAUACAAAAUGUUUAUUAGCUGUAUUAGUCAAAUUCUGCUUUCAUCAUAAUAAUUAAGAAUCCACCACUCCAUCUAAUAUACUAUAUAACUAUUGUCAACAUACUAUUUUCCUAUUAUCAAUUAGGCUGUCUUUUUCUGAUUAUAGGAGAAGAAUUCUCUCCAUUGCCAAGUCAGAGUACUGAGUGAUAAAGGGUGAAUUCAUGGGUUAUUACUUAUUAUUAGAAUCUGCGCAAUAUAUUAGUAAAUUUAUAUAUGUUUGUGUUUCAUUUGAUUAUUAAUCUAUCUGUAUCUUCCAUUCCGUAUAAGAUCUUAAUUUUUUUUUCUGUUCUCUUUGAUAAUAGUUUG
This 999-nucleotide long non-coding RNA is filed under the name Zostera marina. RNAcentral describes it as "long non-coding RNA (ZMAR_LNC006102)". The record is from RNAcentral. Lineage: Eukaryota; Viridiplantae; Streptophyta; Magnoliopsida; Alismatales; Zosteraceae.